This 1447-nucleotide ribosomal RNA is filed under the name uncultured organism. Its description in RNAcentral is "16S ribosomal RNA". It matches the Rfam family "Bacterial small subunit ribosomal RNA". The record is from RNAcentral.
CAGGCUUAACACAUGCAAGUCGAGGGGCAUCAGGAAGAAAGCUUGCUUUCUUUGCUGGCGACCGGCGCACGGGUGAGUAACACGUAUCCAACCUGCCCUUUACUCGGGGAUAGCCUUUCGAAAGAAAGAUUAAUACCCGAUGGCAUAAUGAUUCCGCAUGGUUUCAUUAUUAAAGGAUUCCGGUAAAGGAUGGGGAUGCGUUCCAUUAGGUUGUUGGUGAGGUAACGGCUCACCAAGCCUUCGAUGGAUAGGGGUUCUGAGAGGAAGGUCCCCCACAUUGGAACUGAGACACGGUCCAAACUCCUACGGGAGGCAGCAGUGAGGAAUAUUGGUCAAUGGGCGCUAGCCUGAACCAGCCAAGUAGCGUGAAGGAUGAAGGCUCUAUGGGUCGUAAACUUCUUUUAUAUAAGAAUAAAGUGCAGUAUGUAUACUGUUUUGUAUGUAUUAUAUGAAUAAGGAUCGGCUAACUCCGUGCCAGCAGCCGCGGUAAUACGGAGGAUCCGAGCGUUAUCCGGAUUUAUUGGGUUUAAAGGGAGCGUAGGUGGACUGGUAAGUCAGUUGUGAAAGUUUGCGGCUCAACCGUAAAAUUGCAGUUGAUACUGUCAGUCUUGAGUACAGUAGAGGUGGGCGGAAUUCGUGGUGUAGCGGUGAAAUGCUUAGAUAUCACGAAGAACUCCGAUUGCGAAAGCAGCUCACUGGACUGCAACUGACACUGAUGCUCGAAAGUGUGGGUAUCAAACAGGAUUAGAUACCCUGGUAGUCCACACAGUAAACGAUGAAUACUCGCUGUUUGCGAUAUACAGUAAGCGGCCAAGCGAAAGCAUUAAGUAUUCCACCUGGGGAGUACGCCGGCAACGGUGAAACUCAAAGGAAUUGACGGGGGCCCGCACAAGCGGAGGAACAUGUGGUUUAAUUCGAUGAUACGCGAGGAACCUUACCCGGGCUUAAAUUGCAGUGGAAUGAUGUGGAAACAUGUCAGUGAGCAAUCACCGCUGUGAAGGUGCUGCAUGGUUGUCGUCAGCUCGUGCCGUGAGGUGUCGGCUUAAGUGCCAUAACGAGCGCAACCCUUAUCUUUAGUUACUAACAGGUUAUGCUGAGGACUCUAGAGAGACUGCCGUCGUAAGAUGUGAGGAAGGUGGGGAUGACGUCAAAUCAGCACGGCCCUUACGUCCGGGGCUACACACGUGUUACAAUGGGGGGUACAGAAGGCAGCUAGCGGGUGACCGUAUGCUAAUCCCAAAAGCCUCUCUCAGUUCGGAUCGAAGUCUGCAACCCGACUUCGUGAAGCUGGAUUCGCUAGUAAUCGCGCAUCAGCCACGGCGCGGUGAAUACGUUCCCGGGCCUUGUACACACCGCCCGUCAAGCCAUGGGAGCCGGGGGUACCUGAAGUACGUAACCGCAAGGAUCGUCCUAGGGUAAAACUGGUGACUGGGGCUAAGUCAUAACA